GCGUACAUAACUCAGUUGGUAGAGUCGGUGCCUUCCAAGCACUCGGUCGCAGGUUCGAGUCCUGUUGUACGCUCCA
This 76-nucleotide transfer RNA is filed under the name Erwinia phage Hena1. RNAcentral's name for it is "tRNA-Gly". It matches the Rfam family "tRNA". Rfam says of the family: Transfer RNA (tRNA) molecules are approximately 80 nucleotides in length. Their secondary structure includes four short double-helical elements and three loops (D, anti-codon, and T loops). Lineage: Duplodnaviria; Heunggongvirae; Uroviricota; Caudoviricetes. The record is from RNAcentral.